CAGUCGCCGCGGUAAUACGUAGGUCCCGAGCGUUGUCCGGAUUUGUUGGGCGUAAAGCGAGCGCAGGCGGUUAGAUAAGUCUGAAGUUAAAGGCAGUGGCUCAACCAUUGUAGGCUUUGGAAACUGUUUAACUUGAGUGCGGAAGGGGAGAGUGGAAUUCCAUGUGUAGCGGUGAAAUGCGUAGAUAUAUGGAGGAACACCGGUGGCGAUAGCGGCUCUCUGGUCUGUAACUGACGCUGAGGCUCGAAAGCGUGGGGAGCGAACAGGAUUAGAUACCCCUGUAGUCCCUGUCUCUUAUACA
RNAcentral lists this ribosomal RNA (301 nucleotides) under uncultured bacterium. Its description in RNAcentral is "partial 16S ribosomal RNA". It matches the Rfam family "Bacterial small subunit ribosomal RNA", at positions 509 to 808 of the family's 1533-position model. The record is from RNAcentral.